Molecule: ribosomal RNA, 160 nt
Filed under: Malaxis spicata
Lineage: Eukaryota; Viridiplantae; Streptophyta; Magnoliopsida; Asparagales; Orchidaceae
Also listed under: 1 other name
Description: 5.8S ribosomal RNA
Source: RNAcentral
UCGAGUCUUUGAACGCAAGUUGCGCCCGAGGCCUAUCGGCCAAGGGCACGUUCGCCUGGGCGUCAAGCGUAGCACCGCUCCUUGCUCUACCUCCAUCUCAUCUCUGGUUGUGUUGGAAAUGGCUCGGAUGCGUAGAGUGGCUCCUCGUGCCUACGGUGCG